Molecule: unclassified non-coding RNA, 7518 nt
Filed under: Limulus polyphemus (Atlantic horseshoe crab)
Lineage: Eukaryota; Metazoa; Arthropoda; Merostomata; Xiphosura; Limulidae
Description: pecanex-like protein 1, transcript variant X1
Source: RNAcentral
CCAUGCUUUUCCUACAAGCAGCUCUUUCCUCACUACUGUCAACCCCAUUAAGCCCUUUUCUGGGGAGUGCAGUGUUUUUUACAUCUUAUGUCCGCCCUGUUAAGUUUUGGGAGCGAGAUUACAAUACCAAACGUGUUGACCACUCCAACACACGACUGUCUUCCCAACUUGAGAGAAAUCCAGGUGCUGACGAUAAUAACUUGAACUCGAUCUUCUAUGAACAUCUGACGAGAUCCUUGCAGCACUCUCUGUUUGGAGAUUUGGCUCUCGGUCGUUGGGGAGUUGUUUCUCAAGGGGACUGUUUUGUAUUGGCUUCAGACAAUUUGAACUGUCUUGUACAUGUAAUAGAACUAGGCAAUGGACUGGUAACUUUCCAGGUACGAGGAUUGGAAUUUAGAGGAACUUACUGUCAACAACGAGAAGUGGAAGCAAUCAAUGAAGGAGUCGAAGAAGAUGAAGGCUGCUGUUGUUGUGAGCCUGGACAUCUUCCACACGUCCUAUCAAUGAAUGCAGCCUUCAAUCUCCGAUGGUUAGCGUGGGAAGUGUCUGCUACGAAGUACGUGCUUGAAGGCUACAGUAUAUCAGAGAAUAGUGCAGUCUCCAUGUUGCAAGUCUAUGAUCUUCGGAAAGCUCUGAUAACAUAUUAUGUUAAAAGCAUGAUAUACUAUACCAUUGCAUCACUGUGGCUGGAAGAUUGGCUUCAAUCCGAAGUUUUACAAGAAGCUUUCCACUCCACUUUAGACAAGAAUUAUGCUGACUUAGAUCCAAUAUUCAACUUUAAUAUUGAUGAAGAUUAUGACUUUAGAGUUUCUGGGAUCUCUCGAUACAGCUUUUGCAAUAUAUACCUCGAGUGGAUUCAGUUCUGUGCCUCCAAGAAAGAAAAGGUUCAGGCCCUAGACACCCAUAAGGACUCUGUUCUUGUGUCUUUAUGUUUUGCUCUAAGCCUCUUGGGUAGAAGGACUCUUAGUGCAGUGUCUCACCACUCCUUUUCAAGUGUGGACUUCCUUCUGUAUGGUCUACAUGCUCUUUUUAAAGGGGAUUUUCGUAUCACAUCUCUGAGGGACGAGUGGGUUUUUCAAGACAUGGAACUAUUAAGAAAAGUGGUAGCACCAAGCAUUCGCAUGGCUUUGAAACUUCAUCACGACCACUUCUUAUCAGCUGAUGAGUAUGACGAUUCUGCCACACUCUAUAAUGCCAUUAGCACCUACGAGAAAACACUUGUAAUAUCACACGAAGCCGAUCCCACGUGGAGGAAUGCUGUUUUGUCAGGUGUUCCUUCUUUACUUGCUCUUAGGCACGUGUUCGAUGAUGGUGCUGAUGAAUACAAGAUAAUAAUGUUGAACAAAAGACAUCUGUGCUUCAGGGUUAUAAAGGUGAAUCGUGAAUGCGUACGAGGACUGUGGGCAGGACAGCAGCAAGAACUAGUCUAUUUGAGAAAUCGUAACCCUGAACGAGGAAGCAUCCAGAAUGCCAAACAAGCUUUAAGAAAUAUUAUAAACUCUUCCUGUGAUCAGCCUAUUGGUUAUCCUAUUUAUGUGUCAUCUUUAACCACAUCAUAUGCUGAAACUAAUGAACAACUGUGUCAGGUUGUUGGUGGACCAGUCAGUUUUGGAACUUUUAAAAAUGCAGUUGUUCAGCUUUGGAACAGACUUAGAACUCGAUGUGGAGAGGGAUGCUCCAGUGGAGGCACUGCAGUCCAGGAUGACGGUGGUUUCGAACGUUUCUCUGUGUUCUAUGGUACCAAUGUUGUGGAAAGUGCACCUCAAACACAGUUCAGCCACUCCAGUGUGCAGAGUGGAUCUCAUUCUGGAGAUGCUGCAAGCGAACUCGGUGGGCAAAGCACGGGGAGAGGUAGUGCAGCUAGCAGUAUCGGUCGUUGCAGCACCUUCAGCAGUCUUGGCCAGAACAGUGCCAGUCUUACACGCACCAGUCUCAGCAAUGUUGCAGUUUUUUCCGCACCUCUUGGCAAGACUGGAAAUCCUAAUCUAGUCACACACUCUUCUUUUCGAGCAUUCCCUACAGAACUGGCCAAAUUGGCAAGAACUUAUGAACAGCAUUCUAGUGACCUUCCUAGUCAGUCUGGUUAUGUUACAGGUAUUGGAAUAGAUGGCCAAAGCCAACAGCUUAACGACAGUCUUGGACAAGAUAGUAUCGUAUAGUGACUUUAAAAAACUAGUACUAUGGUACAGGAAUUAAUAGGAUGAUGAUUUCCAGCAGUAGUGUACAGGUUUUUAAGAACACUACAAUUGAAAGGCAAUAUUAGGGUCGCUAUGAUUAAGUUAUUCAGUAAAGAUAACCAAAGAGAAAUAUCAAUGAUGCUAUACAAGUUAUAUUAAGCUGAAGAUGUUACUGUCAAAUUACAUAGCAUCAUUUGAGGAGAGAAAAAAAAAUUGUGAGUUAUAUUUGGGUUAACAGGUAUUGUUUUAUGAAAUAAAACUAUCUAUAGUCCAUUACAUAGUGAGAGUGUAGCAUAAUGUGCAAGACAGAAGAGUACUUCUAUUAGUACUUGACUUAUAAUACAUCAGGUUAUGAGAGAACAUUGUUGGUUGGAAGAGAGUUAUUAUGUAUUAGUGUAUGAGUAAUUACACUUCUGAUUGUGAGAGGGGAACAUUGUUAGUUAGAAGAGAGUUACUUGGUAUUAGUGUGUGAGUAAUGACACUUCAGAUUGUGAGAGAGGAACAUUGUUAGUUAGAAGAGAGUUACUUGGUAUUAGUGUGUGAGUAAUGACACUUCAGAUUGUGAGAGAGGAACAUUGUUAGUUAGAAGAGAGUUACUUGGUAUUAGUAAUUAUACUUCAGGUUGUGAGAGAGAAACAUUGUUGGUUGGAAGAUAGUUAUUAUGUAUUAGUAUUAAGUAAUGACACUUCAGGUUGUGAGAGAGGAACAUUGUUGGUUAGAAGAGAGAUAUUAUGUAUUAGUAUUAAGUAAUGACACUUCAGGUUGUGAGAGAGGAACAUUGUUGGUUAGAAGAGAGAUAUUAUGUAUUAGUAUUAAGUAAUGACACUUCAGGUUGUGAGAGAGUGACAUCAUUGGUUAGAAGAGAGAUAUCAUGCAUUAAUAUUAAGUAAUGACACUUCAGGUUGUGAGAGAGAAACAUUGUUGGUAAGAAGAGAGAUAUUAUGCAUUAGUAUUAAGUAAUGACACUUCAGGUUGUGAGAGAGGAACGUCGUUGGUUAGAAGAGUUACUUGGUAUUAGUGUGUGAGUAGUGACACUUCAGAUUGUGAGAAAGGAAUGUCGUUGGUUAGAAGAGUGACUUGGUAUUAGUGUGUUUGUGUGUGUGUGUGUGUGUAAUGAUGCUUCACGUUGUAAUAGAGGAACAUUGUUGAUUGGAAGAGAGUUAUUAAGUAUUAGUGUGUGACUGAUAGUAUAUCAUUCUGUGAGAGAGAGAGAGAAAUUUUAUUAUCUAAAGUAAUUACUUGGCAUAAAUGUGUUAGUGAUUGAAAGUAAAUCAAUCUCCAUAUCUCACUGUUCAAAUUGUCAAUUCUAUUGCUCUGUGAAUUACAAUGUAUAAAAUUACAUCAGUGGUAAAAAAUUUUAGAAUGUUGAAGGAUAUGUAUAUAUACAUAUAGUAGAGAUGGCUGCUAUCCAUACCAAAAAAAUUUCUUAAAAUGCAAAACAAGUAUCACUGUUUCAGUGUUUCAAAUAAAAGUUUUUAAUAUCCAUUUCGGCCAUCUCUACCAUGUAUGUACUCCAAGUGAAGGACAUGUGUUAUAUUUAUUAGAGGACUUCACUAAAUAUUCUGGUCUACAGAUCUAGUGAAAUGUAAUGUUCUGCAGUUUAAGAGAAUCUUCAGAAUAACUUUUUAGAACAGAGCAUAAUAUUAUAUGGCUACCUUUUCAGUGGUACUGUAGUAUUGUAUGAUUAUCUACAUUGACGAGGCAAAACAAGAACAUAUAACAUAACUGCAGUCUUUUUAUGUGGCAUGACAAGUGUGCUUACAGUACGUUAAUAUACUCAGUUAUUUGAGUCAUCAUGGAGAACCAUUAAGCUGGCUGUCCUCAUUAAGUUUUUUUUUCUUAAUUUUGUUGUUCUUUGAUGAACAGUGAAAGUCUUGUAAGGUAUUUGGGUGGAGUGAUCUUCAUUAUUCCCAAAGUAAAAAAAAAUAAUUUGUUAAUUUUAACAGAGUGUGUUCACUAUUGGUAAAGACAAAUAAGAAAACAUCAGUUUUUGUGUCUUAGAAAUUAAAAAUCAGUUGUAAAAAAUGUUUAGUUAAAUGGUGUUAUUAGAAAUUGUAAAAUAAAUGUGUAACCAAUUGUUACACGAUUUUUUUUUUCUCUGUAAAGACUGUGUUAGUUUAAACAAACGUUUGGCAUUUCAUAAGUUGUUGAUCUGAAGACUUAACUAUAGCCAGUACGCUGUGAAGAGAAAGAAAAAAUAUUUUAAUACUGUUGUGUAUAGUUUAUGAUCAUAGUAGAACAUGGAAGUCAUUACAGUAGCCAAAAAUUGUCUCAAAAUACAUAGAGUAGAUAAAAGACUGACUUUAAAUUAAGACUGAUUUGUUUACAAUGAAAUGAAACUUCAUGUAACAGGGACCUUUUAGUCAUAAAUGAGAAAAUAUUUAAAGUGGCCUUAUUUUGGCAGCCUCCAUCCCAUAGGUAGACUCGUGGUCCUAAUUGUUAAAUGUUUUCUGCUGGUAAACAUAAAAUAAGAUUAAAUUGUCCAUUUUAAAUCACAACAACUGGAAAACUAUUAUAUGUUGAUUCUCUGUAAUGACUUCAUUUUUAAAGUAUGUGUCAUAGACUUUAUCAUUCUUGUCAUAAUUCUAACAAAAUGUGGACCGUGAGCAGUCCUUAUGAUGUUCUCCAGAUGUGCAUUUUGAAAUAAAGCAUUUGACUGAAAUGGUUUUUAAUUUUAGAAAAAAAAAAUAUAUAAACAAUUUUGUCAGGGAUAACGGUACUUAAAAAUUGUUGGCAAAAGGGGGUGUGUGUUUUGCAUCAUUCAAGCAUGUUGAUGUUAAUAUAUAAACUUAGUUAUAUUGUGUGACACUUCCCAAUUUCAGGUGAAUUGCUGUAAUAUUGCCAACUCUAUAAGGUGCAUGAAUUUAGGUGAAAUAUGUGUAGGCAUCAUGAACAAUGAUAAAGUUUAUUGGAAGUUACUUAAGAUACAUAUAAAAAUAUCUUUUAGUAAGCUAUUUAUUUCAUGUAUAUAUAUGUGCAUGUGAUGAGUUGUCAAAGUAACUGGGUUCAUUUCUUUUUUUAUGAGGUGAAUAGGUUUGUAUUGUUUACUUACUUGAAUGCUGCAAAUUUCUAAGUAAUUUUUUUUUUACUUUCAUAGAUUGUUUAACAAUUCAUUAGCACUAAAAUAUUGAAGAAAAAAUUUGAAUGUGACUUAAGUUUGAUUAUAGGUUUAUGUAGAAGUGUUGUUAUGUGACUUAAGUUUGAUUAUAGGUUUAUGUAGAAGUGUUGUUAUGUGACUUAAGUUCAUUAUAGGUUUAUGUAGAAGUGUUGUUAUGUGACUUAAGUUUGUUAUAGGUUUAUGUAGAAGUGUUGUUAUGUGACUUAAGUUUGAUUAUAGGUUUAUGUAGAAGUGUUGUUAUGCGACUUAAGUUUGAUUAUAGGUUUAUGUAGAAGUGUUGUUAUUGAUGGGGCCAAACAGUUUUACCUCUAAAGUACAACUAAAAUUUGUAGUUGAACUAGAUCACAAGUUGUAAGUAAAAUAAUGUAUUUUGAUGUUUUUUAGUGUACUAGAGUCUGAUUAAAAACUAUUAAAAUUGAUGUAUGUAAAAUUUGUUGCAUGUAUAGCAUAUGUAAUGUAUCUUUUUUUUUUAAUGUAAAUUUUGCCUAAUGGAAGCUAAUUAAUUUUCCUUUACAAAUUAUUAAUAUCAUCCUGUACUCGGACUAAAACCUUAUAGAAUUAGUAAUACGGAUUAAAUUUUAUCUUGAUACAGAACAAUUCAGUAAUUUGUUCCUACUAAUGAAAGGUGUGGUUAUUUAGUGUGCUAUCCUUAUCAGUUUUAUUGAUUAUUUUGGUUGCUGUUAUUGCUUAAUCUUGUUUUUAUGUUAUAAUUAACAUUUGGCAACAAUUUAUUAACUACCCUCUAUGUCCCUCUCUCUCUUUUUUUUUUCAGAACAGUACGUUGGAAACCGGUCUUUUUAAAAAAUUUAGCGUUAAAAAUUGUACCAGCACAAUUAAUACAAUAAAUAAAAAACUAGGCAUAAACUCCCCCCCCCCCUGGAAAAUGAGAAAAAUAAUUCCUUAUUUAUUUAUUCAGCUUAUGUAUAUGAUUUUUUUAUUCAGUUCACAGUUUCACAUUACUUUACCCCCACUUUAUAAAAAUUUCUACAGCCUCCCAUGUUUAUAGAAGCUCUUGAUAAAACGACUUCUCAGUUUCUGAUGUUAUAUGUGUUUAUUCCGGCCUGCCUUUGUCUUGUGUUUUCGAUAACACUUCAUUAAUUUAUUCGCGAGGGGAAAACUUUAUCGUUCUUACUCCAUGUGCUAAUUAAAUAAGAUAAUGAGGGGGGAUGGGGAAACGUACUUGUGUAAUAUAUCUUUUUUUUUUUUUUAUAGGCUUAAUACCACAGGUGAACUAAAUGGGGUGAAUUUUUUAAAAUAAAGUAUAGUAAAAUAUAAAUAAUUUUCUUUAUUAAAGCAGAACAGAUUGUAUACAUUUUUAACUGUUAAAAUACAAGCACGUUCUUCCAUUUUAAUAAAAAUUAAAACACGGAUUGUACUUAACCGUUAUGGUAAAUUUAGUUCUUCCGAAUUAUGUUUUCAAAAGUUAUGUUACGUCAUCCUUAAGAUUUUAUUAUUCAAUUUUAAUAGGAAAUAAACGCAAAAGGCCAUUGUUUGUAUUCGUUUAGUUAUAAAAAAAAUAUGUCAAAAUACAGAACUUAAGCCCAAUUAAUAAUAUUUCUAUUACCAUUCUCAUCUAAACCGACGCAAGUAGAACAAAAGAGGCAUUGUAAUAAUAGUUUUUGUAUACAUCUUUACAAUGAGGCCUAACAUUACAUUCAAGAUUCUGGAUUAAAGACUUUUCAACGAGAACGCGUGGGUUUUGUUUUGUUUUUUCAUUCUUUAUACACGACUAGUAUUGUUCUUUCGAUCUGACAAGGUUUUCAUAGCUAUUGAUUAUUUUACAAUGCCUUAAUCUUCCAAAUAACGUUCUUCAUCCUUCUGAUGUUGUUAGCUAAUUUCUAAGUAGAGUAUGAUGUGUAGGCUGACAUCUAUCGUCAAAUAAACGAGUCGAAGGCACAUAUUUUAGUGUAAAAGGCAUAAUUAGUAUGUUUUGUAAAUAUAUUGAAUUGGACAUAAUCUAAGCUCAGUAUAGAAAGGAAAGCCCAAUAUUCUAUGUUUUGGGUUUAUAAAAGUAUAAUUUAAUUUGUAUUGUAUUCAGUUUUGUUAUAUAUUUUCUUGAAGUUUCAGGACAACGUAAGUUUUUCAUUAUGUGUAUUACGUUUUUAUAAUUUAUUCAAGUAAAACAUGUUUAAUAAAAUAUGUGAAAAAUUAUCUUCAAAAACAUGUAACGAGCACUCAUAGUUGGUAUCUGUGUACAAGAGUUUCGACAUCCUGUGAAAAAAA